Molecule: transfer RNA, 94 nt
Filed under: Armillaria solidipes
Lineage: Eukaryota; Fungi; Basidiomycota; Agaricomycetes; Agaricales; Physalacriaceae
Description: tRNA-Gly
Rfam family: tRNA
About the family: Transfer RNA (tRNA) molecules are approximately 80 nucleotides in length.
Source: RNAcentral
GCAUUAAUGGGGUAGUGGUAACCUGGGUCGUUGCCAUCAAUAUGUCGAGAGAGUAUGUUUCGACCCGCCGGGGGUUCGAUUCCCCCUUAAUGCA